Molecule: long non-coding RNA, 3882 nt
Filed under: Brassica napus (rape)
Lineage: Eukaryota; Viridiplantae; Streptophyta; Magnoliopsida; Brassicales; Brassicaceae
Description: long non-coding RNA (BNAP_LNC001103)
Source: RNAcentral
CACUCGUGUACGUAAUUUAGCUUGUUCUUCAGAUUCGCUUCUGGCCUGAGAUCUCAAAUGAGGAGCAACAUACUUGACGCUGCUCUCAGGAUUAGGUUUCUGCAGAGGAGAUUCUACUUUCUCGUCGUACUCAACAGUCUCUGACUCACCAUCAUCUGUGAUCUCCAUCGGAUGAGUUUCUACCUCUUCAUCCAAAGACUUCUUCUUCUUACGGUGUUUACGGUCUCUUUUUCUUUUAGGCUCUUCAUCACUAUCCUCAUCAGAAAAAUCAGAUUCUCCAAGCUCAAAAUCUUCCUCAUAGUCCUGUUUCUCCUCGGAUCUCUUUCUCUUACCCUUCUUCUUACGAGAAUCACCAAGCUCAGAUUCCAUAGAAUCCAAUACAGAUGGAAGCCCUUCGAACAAAUCAUUCAUACCAUCAUCCACGCCUCUUAGUUUCCCGUUCUUUACCUUGAGCUUCUUUGCUAGCUUCCUCUCUAGCUCAGCAUCUUGCUCACGAGAUAGUGAAGCGCUUUGUGUCUCCAUCUCAAGAUACUCCUCGAACUUCGUCUUCUUCCUUGGUUUGUUUAGAUCUUUCGUUUUGUGUCCUCUUUGCAUCUUCUUCUCCUUUGGUUUGACUCUAUGCUCGCUUUUCUUUUGUGUAAAAGACUUUUUAUCAACCUUGUUUCCACCAGGACUAACUGAUUUCACAUGUUGAGCUUCUUUAUAAGUUUCAGACUUGAUCACGUCAUCAGUCUUUGUCUGAACUGAUGAUGAUGCUGAUACUCGCUUCUCCUUUUGCAACUUCUGAAAACCAGAAAAAUCAACAAAUCAUGAAUUGGUAACUAAACUGUAGAUAGCAAAACAAAGAUUCACACAUACCUGACGCUGAAGCCAAGAUUCAUGCUUCUUCUGGCUCUUCUGCAAGCGAGCUUCUUUACGCUUUUCAUGACGUGAGCUCCCUGCUGAUCAUCAAAAAAAAAAACAAGCAAACGAGAUUCUUUAAGAACAUAGCUCGAGCAGAAAAAAAUACUAAGAUCAUUACUAAAGAGAAUAUAUCAGCUUACCCGUUGUAUCUGGUCCAGCCAUAGAUUCUACAAACAACAACAGAAGAAAAAUUAGAACUUUCGCUUUCUGAAUACGAACACGACAGAAGCACAGAAGUAACAGAACACGACAUUACUGAAUAAGCUUCAAGCAUCUAUAACAAUGAAGAUUCUAGCAAGACCCUAGUUUUACUAAGCCCUUUGGAACCUUAAAGACUCGCGAUUCCGACAGAAGGAUCAAACUACGUCUAAGACAUUAAAAGCAGAACGUAUGAUUGCACAAGAUGGAUCAAUACUUUGAGCAGUGUAAGGUGGACUCUCAAAUUCAAUCUUCUCCGCACUCGCUUGCUCUAACAAAAUUAAAAACUUGAAGGAUCGAUUUUUUUCCGACCCAGUCGAUGAACGCAGGAAUUGAAAAUUGUAUAGAUUAGGGUUUUUGUCGAAUUUUUAAAAUCUUAACGAAACAAAGCCUGCGAAGUUGUUGGGCCUAAAAUCCUCUGAUUAGGCCUGGGCAAGGGCACAAGGCACGUAACAAAAUAAAUAUUGGCUUACAAUUGUACUUGUUUGGCAAGUAAUUGGUUAACCAAGCACUUGCCUAGAAUUUAAAGACUUGCAAAGCUGGACUCAAAAUAAAUAGAGAUUAGCGAAGGUGAAGAAGGAGAGUGAAUAUCAACUUGACUGUUUAUGAUUAAACAAAACACAGAGUUUUACGGCUCCAUUAAUAUAAACAUCAAAUUUUCACUGAACUAAAUUUAAGAGUGUUAGUUCACACCCUGGUCAGAUAGAGAUAUUGGACUGGUCUGGUGUUGUAGUUAGACAGAUUCUUAUAAAGCAGAUAGUAUUAUCAGUUGUCCAAUUGUGUAUGUAAUAUUUAACUGUAGUUUCUAAAUAAAUUAGCGUUAAAAAUUAAUUAGUAUUGGCCUAAUAGUUCAGUUUUGUUGAAAUUAAAAUACACAAUUCUUUGAGUUUUGAUGGAAAUGCAAUUCAUCAAAUUUUAACUUGCUAAUUAAUGUAAUAGAUACCAAGUAACAUAGUCAGUAGUUGAAAGAUAAAAUUAUCUAAAUACUUGUAUUUGUGAGUAAUAAAAGCCGAUUACUUGUUACUCGACUUAGUCGAUCAUAGCAAAUACUUGCUUCGAAUCCGAGGUAAAUAGCAAGUACAAGCCGGAUGAUAAGUAUAGUGUCCAUGCCUACCUCUGAUAGCUUCAGCAAGUUGUGAUGAAUCUUUUAUAUUAAAAUCCAUUUAACGCAUUCUCAUCCAUAAAAAAGUGUUUGGUCAUUCUUGGGAUGCGAAGUGAAUCAUACAUUAACAUUAAGAAGAUAAACAUAAUGUAAGAAGGAAAACACUUGACACAGUGCAUAGACUUUCAUUUCUGUAAUGUGUUCAGAUACUGUUUUGAUAGAAUCUUAAGUAUAACCUUUAAUUUUUUCUAACUACAAACUUAACUUGAUAGACAUUAAGCGUACCAAAUAGUGCAUCAGAAUUCUUCCUUCUCCGGAUAUAGAGAUAAGUAAGAAAAGACUUUAACUAUCAUAACAAAGACAUUUUCUUUGAGAAGAGAAUCUUUGGAAGAUCGCUUACCGUGAACUUAUUUAUAUCAGUCUUGCAAUCAGGGGAGGUUUUAAUUUCAUUCGUCUUGUUCUGGAUGCUUACGAUGAAGGUUUUCAUAGCCACAGGAUCAUCACUUCUUAUCUUCAUUCCACAGCCUAUUCAACACAUAAACAAGAACUUAGUAAUGUGACAUAAGAAGUUAAAACAACUACGAUGACUAAGCAAGGAUAGUAAUAAAACUUACUAUCUAAAACAAUUAGAAUAGUGCAGGCAUCAACUUCAGUCAGCCGGUUCGCCAAUGUCAUUAAGAAAUCAUAAAUAAGAUCACUGCAAAACAAAUAUACAACUUCACAUUCAGUCCCACAAAAAAAUCAUAAAUAAAGUAAACAGCAUAUAUGUAGCUGCAGAAAACUUUACCUGGAGCAGACUCCCAAUAAGCAGAGAUAAGAAAGUAAAAGAGUGAUUCCAUUCAAAGAGAGACUAUCUUCCUUUUGGUAUUCAUCCUGAAAACAGAUAAGAUGAUACGUAACUACUGCAGUAUUUCAAACAAGAUGGUGAGGAGGAAACAUACUAUGCAGAGAGACUUAGGGACAUACCUCGAAAGAUUUAGCAAGUGAAGCAAUAAGCUGAGCACUGAAAUCCAUUCCAACUUGACAAGCCAUGCCAGCUAUAAAAGCAGCAAAUACACCGUACCUUCAACAAGGAAGACGAAUUAUUCAGCCAUCAAUCGUUUUAUUAAUCAUUAAACUAUAGAGAGGUGUAGAGAUAUUAACUGUUCAUUGCCUCUAGCAUAAGUUGCCAAAACCUCUUCACAGAAAAUCUGAGAGGACACACUUCUCGCAACACUCUGCAUUAGCAAAUAUUUACCAUGUAAGAACAGUAACAGAAUAGAAACUGAAGCAAUUUUGAACUGUGUAACGGUAUUUAAGCUUACGCGAUAGAGUGUGGAAAGUUCUGCGGUUAUUGACUCCACAUUGGAUUCAGCCAUCUUAUUUAAAAGACCUGUAACACAUACCAAGCAUGUCAAACUAAGGUUACAGAACUAUAAACACCACAAGGUUAAACAGCCUUUUUGCUAGCCAUACCUUUCACUCGUGUACGUAAUUUAGCUUGUUCUUCAGAUUCGCUUCUGGCCUGAGAUCUCAAAUGAGGAGCAACAUACUUGACGCUGCUCUCAGGAUUAGGUUUCUGCAGAGGAGAUUCUACUUUCUCGUCGUACUCAACAGUCUCUGACUCACCAUCAUCUGUGAUCUCCAUCGGAUGAGUUUCUACCUCUUCAUCCAAAGACUUCUUCUUCUUACGGUGUUUA